This 452-nucleotide ribosomal RNA is filed under the name uncultured bacterium. RNAcentral describes it as "partial 16S ribosomal RNA". It matches the Rfam family "Bacterial small subunit ribosomal RNA", at positions 354 to 788 of the family's 1533-position model. The record is from RNAcentral.
UGGGGGAAUAUUGCACAAUGGGCGCAAGCCUGAUGCAGCCAUGCCGCGUGUUGUGAAGAAGGCCUUCGGGUUGUAAAGCACUUUCAGCGAGGAGGAAAGGUGGUGAACUUUAAUACGGUUUCAUCAAUUGACGUUACUCGCAGAAGAAGCACCGGCUAACUCCGUGCCAGCAGCCGCGGUAAUACGGAGGGUGCAAGCGUUAAUCGGAAUUACUGGGCGUAAAGCGCACGCAGGCGGUUUGUUAAGUCAGAUGUGAAAUCCCCCGGGCUCAACCUGGGAACUGCAUUUGAAAACUGGCAAGCUAGAGUCUCGUAGAGGGGGGUAGAAUUCCAGGUGUAGCGGUGAAAUGCGUAGAGAUCUGGAGGAAUACCGGUGGCGAAGGCGGCCCCCUGGACGAAGACUGACGCUCAGGUGCGAAAAGCGUGGGGAGCAAAACAGGAUUAGAUACCCCU